This 490-nucleotide ribosomal RNA is filed under the name uncultured bacterium. RNAcentral describes it as "partial 16S ribosomal RNA". It matches the Rfam family "Bacterial small subunit ribosomal RNA", at positions 29 to 505 of the family's 1533-position model. The record is from RNAcentral.
AGUGAACGCUGGCGGUAGGCCUAACACAUGCAAGUCGAACGGCAGCACAGUAAGAGCUUGCUCUUACGGGUGGCGAGUGGCGGACGGGUGAGGAAUACAUCGGAAUCUACUUUUUCGUGGGGGAUAACGUAGGGAAACUUACGCUAAUACCGCAUACGACCUACGGGUGAAAGCAGGGGAUCUUCGGACCUUGCGCGAUUGAAUGAGCCGAUGUCGGAUUAGCUAGUUGGCGGGGUAAAGGCCCACCAAGGCGACGAUCCGUAGCUGGUCUGAGAGGAUGAGCAGCCACACUGGAACUGAGACACGGUCCAGACUCCUACGGGAGGCAGCAGUGGGGAAUAUUGGACGAUGGGCGCAAGCCUGAUCCAGCCAUACCGCGUGGGUGAAGAAGGCCUUCGGGUUGUAAAGCCCUUUUGUUGGGAAAGAAAAGCAGCAGGUUAAUACCCCGCUGUUCUGACGGUACCCAAAGAAUAAGCACCGGCUAACUUCG